UCGAGAAUCUUCGGCAAUGGACGAAAGUCUGACCGAGCGACGCCGCGUGCGGGAUGAAGGCCCUCGGGUUGUAAACCGCUGUCAGUAGUUAGGAAAUCCAUGAGGGUUAUCUCUCAUGGUUGACCGAUCUUCAGAGGAAGGACGGGCUAAGUUCGUGCCAGCAGCCGCGGUAAGACGAACCGUCCAAACGUUAUUCGGUAUCACUGGGCUUAAAGCGUGCGUAGGCGGCUUGGUAGGUGAGAUGUGAAAGCCCACGGCUCAACCGUGGAAUUGCGUUUCAAACCCCCAAGCUCGAGGAAGAUAGGGGUGAUGGGAACUUAUGGUGGAGCGGUGAAAUGCGUUGAUAUCAUAGGGAACACCGGUGGCGAAAGCGCAUCACUGGAUCUUUUCUGACGCUGAGGCACGAAAGCUAGGGUAGCGAACGGG
RNAcentral lists this ribosomal RNA (426 nucleotides) under uncultured bacterium. RNAcentral describes it as "bacterial SSU rRNA". It matches the Rfam family "Bacterial small subunit ribosomal RNA", at positions 355 to 776 of the family's 1533-position model. The record is from RNAcentral.